This 9520-nucleotide unclassified non-coding RNA is filed under the name Leishmania donovani. Its description in RNAcentral is "gene:LdHU3.36.6150(CDS-product:predicted_C2_domai n_protein)". Lineage: Eukaryota; Euglenozoa; Kinetoplastea; Trypanosomatida; Trypanosomatidae. The record is from RNAcentral.
UUCUGCUGAUGUCGAUGCGUGCUCUGUGCUGAUUUGCUGACGCACUCGCAUUGCCUCUCGACACGUAUGGAAACACAUAUACACAAAAAAAACGGGAAAAGAAAACGAACACCAGCCCUUUCGUGCCACGGCAGGUUACACAUCGUCCUAUGAAGGUGCGCACACGCACCAGUAAACAUUACCCAUCACCCACACAGUAAGCGAAGCGUGCUUCCACACAAACGCCUGUGAAACUUUUUAAAAGUGAACGGAGCCGCCACCAUUACUCUUUUCGUUGCUUCCCUUUUUUUCAGCUUCUUCGUUGCCCACCGCCCCUGAGGCCUCGCCGCGGGAUUCACUUGCGCCCGGACGUUACUUCUUCAUGUACAACACACAUACACGUAACCAAUAAAAGCUCUGUAAUUCCGCAGAGCUUGUCGAAGAGCGCACCGUCUCGCACUCACGAACGUGGCGCGUCUGCGUCUCCCUCUCCCUCUUCAGUCGUUAGCGUUCCACUCCUUGAUGACAGUUUGGCCACUCUUUCUCAUGCGCUCCACUACUUCAUCUGCCUCUCUCUCGCUGUAUGUCUGUGGUCGCCGCUGCCUCUCUUUUUUCUUUUCUGUGCCUUUGAUUCACGGUAUUUUUGCGAGGCCAGCGCGAGCCUUUUUGUGUGGCCUUCUCGUCGCACUCUUCCUUGCCCCAUCCCCUCCCUUCCCCUUCUCUGUUUAACGGCCGUGACGCUCUUCUUCGUUUCUCUUUCUUUGGCGUGCUGCUCGCACAUCAUCUCAAGACUUGUGCUGUUACGGAGCGCGCGCACCUUCACUCCACAGGGCACACGCCUACAUCGACACACACACACACACACACACACACACACACACACACGACACAUAUAGUGAUAUUUUGCUGCACCACGAAGCAGAAUAUCAAAAAGGCAAACCAGCAAGGGAGAGAGAGCUGGUCAUCAUUACCAUACUCUUGCUCGGGCAGAUUUUCGUUGCGGCGGUCAGCUCAGCUGGACUCAGCCAUGGGCAAGCUAACCGUCAAGGUUCAUAAAUGCGAACUCUACCGUCCGGUGAGCAGCGGUAACUGCGCCGUCAAUCCGCGUGUCACCAUUGUUGUGGACGGCACUUAUCGGUUCCAGACAAAUAUCAAGAAAAACACGUUUGACCCAGAGUUUCGUGACUCCUUCGUUGUGGGCAACACGCACCGGCUAGCCGUGAUUGAGGUGUCCGUCCACGAUGUCCAGGAGCCGUCCGGCUUGGUGUUGCCCGGCAUCGGCGUCUUGGCAGCAAAGAGGGGCUUGGUGCGGGAACUCAACGGCGUCAGGAUGGACGAAGGCGAAGGCGUCGGCGCCUCCACGGCCGGCCCCACAGGUGGUGGUGGCUCCAGCGGCAUCAGCAGCGGUACAUCGUCAUCGUUCAAGGCGCGGUUGCCGGUGUUGCUAGGGCGGUGUUACAUCUCGAUUGAGCGUUUGGUGCACCACGAACGGAAGCGCCGCAAGUACUACCUCGCCACCCCACUUCCACCCUCGUCUGCCACGGCCACGGCAGGGAGCAACGGAUGUGCGACUGCUGCCAGCGUCGCCGCGAACGCGAUCGCGGCCGGCGCGUCCCCAGCGACGAUGGCGAGCGACGUUGGUCCCUCGUUUCUGCAGCAGGCCCUUCCGACAGGAAUCGCCGGUACGAUUACAAUCUCUCUCGAGUCCGACUCUCUCGGCGAGCCCCCUUCGGAGUUGAGCCUCAACGAGCCACUCGAGACCGCGUAUGUGCGACGUUUGCGUCGCUUUCUGAUGUGCUACGAUCCGCCGAAGGUGGCCAUGCUGGAUGUGAUGAUGGCGCACGUGCGCGACACCACGGAGGUGGGCCCACACAACAACAGCAGGCGCCGCUACAGUAACAGCAACGGCACAGGUACCGUGGCGCUGGCGGCCAGCAGUGCGCCAGCGUCGCGGAUUCAUAAACAGGACCGAUCGAGCGCCACAUCAGCGACUUCGGGCACCACCACACCGCUGCGCCCCGGUGCCGACAGCGUCACAUCGCCAACCGGUGGCGCAUCAACCCUGCUAAUGAGCUCGCACGACCAAGUUGACUCACUGAUGUGGAAUCCGUCGAAUAACUGUCCGAACCGCGUCCUGCAGCUCGACCACAAGAGGAGCCCGCCCAGCAGCAACGGUUCACCCCCCUUUGUCGCCGCUCUCCGAACGCGCAGCGUGUGCCUCGGUGGCCGAGCAGAGCUGACGGCAGACCUCCCUGAUGAGCGAGAAACCUUCGAGGGAAUGAUGAACCGACUUUGCGCUGAGUACCACGCGAGCGAGCCGGGCGACUUCCGCGUCGUGCUACGGGUUGAAGGUUGCACAAACAUCAACAAGGAGACCUGGAAUCAGUCGCUUAUCGGGUCCGACGACGUCUUCGUCAUCUUCCGCAGCGAGUCGGAAGAGUUUGAGACGAACAUGGUCACGCUGCAGAACACCGUCGUUUGGUCGGAGGCGAACACCGUUGCCAUGGACGUUGUGAAUCCACAUCGCUUCUACGUCACGGUCAUAUUGAUGGGCCGCAGCGGGUCCAAGACGUACGAGAUUGGCCGCUGCAACGUCAGUGCGGCGCCUCUCUCGAACGGGUACGUCUCGCGCCGAAACAUGUUUCUGUGUAUGGCGGAGAGCGUGACGCGAGUGGCGGUGAACGGCGUGGUGCAUCUCCUCGUGCGCCCCGUCAACUUCAGCCUCACUCCGCCUGACAUGGCGGAGAGCGUCGACGAUUUCUACGACCGACUCGGCCGCUUCUUUAAGCGGUACGACCCCCUCCAGCUGCCCAUGGUGGAUGUGCUGGCGCGGGCCCGCCUACGUGAUCACGACACCUACAUGAAGGAUCUGGUAAUCCAGUACGGCCGUGAACCGGGCACGGUACGCAUGCUGGUCGCCGUGGAGUCCCUCAUCUCACUGCGCGAGACAGCCGACAGGGAUCUCAGCGGCCAGGACGUUCGCGUCCUUCUCACGAUGGGCUCCUGCGGCGUGCGCACCAAGACGUUUGCGGUGCGCCAGUUCGCGCCUACCAAUGUUCGCGAGAAUUACGUCUUUGACGUCGUGCGAGAGACCGACCUGAUUCGGAUCGAGGUGGUGAAUGCGCGAGACGAUAACCUCGUAUACGGCCGCGUCGACUUCAGCUGCCUGAAUACGCAGCGCAGUGUCAUGAACAAGCGCGACCUGUACCUGGUUGGCGCAGCUGGGACGCGAGAUGCGUAUUUCAGCGGCAUCGUGCGCGUGAGCCUCUACAGCGACGAGGUGGGGCACAACUACGAGGUGGACAUGAAGCUGGAGGACGCCUUCACCGGGCGACUGCGCCGCUACGUGUACCGCCGCAUCCCUGAGAGCCUGCACCGUGUGAACCUGGCGGUCGCAACGGUAUUCGACAUAGAAUCCUUCAUGGCGCAGCUGGCUGUCGAGUACGGCGACGAGGACCCCACCUAUGCUCUCUACUUCACCGUCGUCGGAUGCCGUCAACUGCGCUCUGGCUUUGGCGGCAUCAACCCUUACGUGGUGGUGCGUGUCGGCAUCGAUGCCUAUCAGACAAAGACGGCGAGGGCGAACGAGGAGCCUGACUACUUCGAGUUCUGCGAGUUCUAUUACGAUCGGCCGGAGGGUAUGGCGAUCACUCUCGUGGUGAUGGAUCAGGCUGACAUCGGCAGGGACGAGGAGGUUGGCCGUGCGGUGAUCCCGCUGGCCAACGUGCAGCCGUCGAGGCAGUACAACGAUUGGCUGCCGCUCCUCUCCGAGACGAAGAGCGGCAAGGUGCGGGAGGUGGGCACGAUCGGGUUCAAGUACACCGUGGUCGACCUAAACCUGGUGGACCGCACCCGGGCUCGCCUCAUCAAGGAGCAGCACCGUGAGCGUAGUGCACGUAGGCCUAGCUUGGCGAAGGGAAGAAGCGAGAGCCGACUCACGAGUUUAGCGCCAUCAGGGACCAGCGGAGCCGACUUCCUGAACUCCACCUGGAGCACCAACGCGAACGCCAGCUCUGGGUUUGCACAUCGGUGGAACACCUUCAAGAGGUACCUCCUGCAGACCCCCCUCAUGGCGUACUCAACGCGGACGCUUAGCAUGGGUAACAGUGCCGGCGAUGAGUCAGACCGCUUCGAGCAAAGCAUGAGCGAAAGCACGACACUCAUCAUGGCAGGGCAGGACGCGAGCCUCUUCAAGUCUGGCCGCUCCGUUACCAGUCGCCUGCCGACCAUGAACCUGAUGGAUCUCGGCAUCAGCACUGUCGAGGAGUUCUGCACCGCCGAGGUCAGUGAGCUGCAUUCCGCGGGGUAUUCCGAGACGGAUGCGGACCUGCCCGCCUCGCUGGAAAUGACGUACCGACCGCCGACCCACGAAAGGGAUACGCUGACUGGGCCCUGCUCCUCCGUCAACGGCGAGGGUGGGGCGGAGAGUGGCAAGGCGGCGCGCAUGCAACUAAGCGUGCGCCUACUAAGCUGCACAAACCUCUUUAAGCCUGGACACAACAUGCCGAACCCGUACGUGCUACUCUCUACCAUUUCCGAGUCCCACCGGUCGCGGGUGCAAUUCUGCACCACAGAGCCGCGGUUCAACGAAACCUUUCUGUUCACCGUUGAAGACCCCCAAAUCGACUAUCUCACCGUCACCGUUCUCACUGACACGCCUUACGGGUUGAGGAAGCUGGGCCACUGCACGCUGUCGAUGCGCAACGUGCAGCGCGGCACGAUGCGCACACGGUGGACGUCGCUUGUCAUCCAUCCUUUUGAGCCAGCCGCGAUGGAGUGCGGCUUCGUGUACCUCUCGCUCGGUGCUAUCAACUUCGGCAUAAACUAUCUACCUUCCGUGGAAGCCGAGAACCGGCUACGGGAGCAGAUCCGCGAGUACCUCACCCUGCACGCGCGGCGGCAGCUCCACCGCUUGGAGUGGUACGUCGGAGAGUUCUCGCAGCUUGAGAGCAUCCUGCUCGGUGGCUGGUUCCGCGAUAGCGGUAACGACGCCGGUGCCGACGACACGGGCACGCGCGUCGCCGACUUGGAGGUGACGGUGCUCGGCGUGUCAAACCUCUACUGCGGUGGCUUUCUCGCCGAGGGUAGCUGCGUCGUGAAGGCGAAGGUGGAUGGCCAAACGCGAGCCAAGACAAGGCCGAUCACCGGUGCUCAGGGCAGCUUUGUCGUGCCGGAGGGUCAAGACUCGCUGCGCUUCACCGUUCCCGAGCCGAUGACGACGCUAGUGCGGCUGAGCGUCGUGCUGAAUGGUAAAACGGGUGCCGGCGAGUGCUACGUAUCCUUGGCGGAUCUCCACCGCGGCGUGGCGAAGGAGCGCACGCUGAUGCUGGUAAUGGAUUCACGCUCCUCGCAUGCCGAGGCGGUGGGGUUCAUCCGCAUCUCCGUCUUUUGCAGCAACUACGGCAGCUCCGCCCCGGCCCCGACAGAGGAGGAGCUGGCGCUGCACUCGCGCCUGACCCGGUUUUUCUACUACUACAUCCCGACGGAGCUGGCGAUGGUGGACGUCAAGUACGCAACAACUCUGAAUGUGGCGGCAUACCUGAGCCGUAUGGUAGAGAAGUACGGCCCAGAACCGGGCAAUUACCGCCUUCGCUUCAGGGUGGACCGCUGCCGCAACCUUGUUUUCAAGAAUGACAACACACCGCUGCACGUCUUCUGCAUUGUCCGCGCCGGGUUGCAGGAGUUUCAGAGCUCGAUUGUGGAGGGCCAUAGCGAGUGCGUAUUCGGCGAGAGCUUUGACCUUAUCAUCGGCCUCCCGCAGCAGGAAAAGGUGGAGCUGAUUCUGAUGCGAUAUUACCCAUCGAAGCAGGUGGAGCUUGGCCGCACGCAGCUGGAGCUGCGUGCGUUGCGGCGAGCGGAGGAGAACAGUAUGGAGCUGGCGCUUGUCAGUAACGCUGGCACAAAGGCGGCGGGUGUUUCCGGCAUCCUGAAGGUUUCCUCCUUCCCAGUCGACUUUGGCCGCGAUGGCGGGAUGCACUUACGGACGCAAUCGACGCUAGCGUACGGCCUCGAUGGGCACUCGGCCUUGGCGCAGACGAUGUGCCUCUUCUCCUCGCCGACUCGAAUGGGGGCUGCCAACACAGUUUCGGGUCCGCGCAGCAGCGCGCCGAGCGACCACGACGCUUUGAAGGAGCCGCUAGUCACCGAGCGCAAGACGCCGCCGCCGAGCGCAUCGCGCAUGAUCUCCACCUUCCUCAAUGACAGCCUCGGGGAGCAAGGCGGGACGGUGCCGCCCACGGUCCGCGGUAGCACCUCGGCCUCCGUCACCAUCGUCGGGUUUGCUGGGCUGAACAUGCGCGAUGCCCAAAUUUACAUUCGCGUUUCGGAACACGACAAGACGCUGUUCAAGACGAAGCCUAUCCCCGCUGAGCAACUGGUUGCCUUGGAGGCGAGCACGGCCACCUUCACGAUUGACAACGUGGCCGCUAACUACGACAAGCAGUACACGCUGAAGCUCGGAUUUCGAAAGCUACUCGGCGCCGAGGCCCUCUGCCACGCCGAUUUCUGUGUCUUGCGCUGCCCCGCCGGAAAGACCGUAGAGAAGCGCCUGCGUCUCUACGACGUGAACUCGCAGUACUUGGGCAUCUGUCGUCUCAGCAUAACACUGCCGCCGAUCCAUCUGCCGGCGCUGCAGUGGCAGCACCUCUCUCCUGCCGUCUUUGAACCGCUCAUGGACGACGUUGCGUCGCUGGUGUCCACCUACAUGCCGAAGGAUUUGCGGCGGUUGGAUCUCAUCUUGUGUCAUGCCCCGGACAUCCGUCGACUGCAUCGCGCGUUGAGGCUGCAGCUCGCGCCCAGCGUGGUGGCGACGGUGUACGUGGCGAUCCAUUCCGUCGACCUGCACUCCGCGACGGUGCGGCACUCGUGCGUUGUGACGGCGUCUGUCGGGCACUUCACCUCUGAAGCGGUGCGGCGGCAGCUUGGUUCGUCGCAGGUUUACCCAUACGGUAUGUCCAAGGAGGGCAUCUCCAACCUAGACUUCCCGCUGCUGCGCAUCGACAUCAGCGCCACUGGACCUGCCGCCAUCUUGACGCUGUGCGUCUGCGACCGCGCCUCCAAGGCAAAAUCGGAGGAAGUUGGUCGCACUGUGGUGUCGCUGCGAGCCUUGCUCACGCCUGCCGUCUUUGACAUGUCUGAAAAGGUGCAGGUGCCGCUUGUAUCGGUGAGCCACGCUGCGAAUCGCGUGCAUGCAAGCCUGGCCGGCACCGUCACGUUCAGUCUCAUGCCGCCUGCGUUCGAGAGCUAUGGCGCUUCCGUGAGGUUCGCCUCGAGCGUUGUGGAGGGCUUUGACCGCGCCUACGUCCGCUACUACACAGAUCGCAUUUGUCGCCUGCUGAGCCACUACGACGCCAACUCGCUGGUGGACAUCCACUCACGCCUGUACGAGUCGUACGUUUCCUGCAAAUGCUGGGAGACCGGACUACCAGCUUGCUUGUCCGAGCUGGUUGUCCGCUGGGGACCGGAACUGGACAGUUUCGAGCCGCCCCCUGCGCUGAAGAGUCGCGAUGGCGCGCAACAGAGCAGGAUAGCGGCAAUGGAAAAGAGCGAAAAUAAGGAGUCAGGCCCAUAUGAGCUAAUGCCCAACGCUGAGCGGCAGCCGGCAAGAUGAGAAGGGUACCCAAAUGUCGAAGGAUGACAGCAGUGGAGUGGUGUGGUGCGGUGGGAGGGGAUACGGGAGAUAAGGGACGUACUCGGCCUGCGAGCCUUUCUUGUGACGUUGUAUGGGCACAAAGCGCUGAUGGCGAAGCAGUGCAUGUCUCUCUCUCUCUAUCCCUGCCCUUGGCCGCACAGUUGUUCUUGGGCGUUCUUCCCAUGCCUCCUUUGAGUCGUUGCUGCGGUGCCGAUGUCGCGCUACACAUGACUGCUUUAUGCCUGCAUGCGUUGGUGUAUGCAUGUUUUCGUGUGCAUCUAUGUAUGUGUGUGUGUGUGUGUGUCCGCAUGUGUGCCUCAACGAUACUGCCUGAACCUUUUCUUUGCGAUCUUCUUUUCAUCUUCUUCCUCCUUUGCUUCUUACCUCUCUCUGAUGAACGUUGUGUAUUCUCAGAGCUGCGCACAAGGACGGAGAGAGUAGGCGGGGGGUGGGUGGUGCUUUACGUUGUCUCGGCGUUGUUAUUCGGCGUGCCUGAUUCCUCCUUUCGCCCAUGCUGCCACCCUUUUGGUGGUGUGAGCGUGGAGGAACACCCGCCUGGCGUUUCGCCCUUUUGGUGCUGUCGCUGCUGUUCUGUUUUUUUUUUCUUUUAUGUGUGUGUGUGUGUUUCUGCUGUGGCCUCUUUGGUGAUCACUCCUGCGCUCACUCAGCCUCUCCGGGCUCUUCUUUCGUCUUUGCUUGCCCGUCGCCCGCCAGAGUCCUCUUUCUCCGCAAUCAAUCGGCACGCCGGUGACUUGCUUCUCCUGUCGAGGCAUUGCCUGCCCUUCGGCGACAUUGCCAGCUCCUCUUUUGCAGGGUCACUCCUCGACUUCCCUCUUUCUCUUGCUGUUCGCCUCGAAGAGGACCGCUUCGCCUUUUCCCCCGUCGCUUCCGUCAAAGCCCUGAUGACGAGAGGGGUGUGGGCACACCUCUCAGCGCGUGGUAGCUCAUAAUCCAGCGACCCCGCAAUACUGCGUGGAGGGAAGCCAAGCCGGAUCCCCCGUUAUAUAGCCCUCUGCCAAGUGCCGAGCCGCUUCUGGCGGGCAACAGGGUCACGUGCCCGCAACGCAGGGGGUGAUCAGAGCUAUGUAUCGCUAUGGAUGCCGGCGGCCAGGCCCUGGACGGCGUGGCAUCAGAGCGGCCUGCGACUGUGCACACGCCUGUGCCAUCCAUACGGUAGGCAGGGCGCCAGCGUGGCUCGAGCGUAUCCCACGCGGCCCUCACACUGCCCUGCUGGUGGUGCAGGGAGAGGCUGAGCCGCCCCAAAGGGGACACACCAGGCCACGGCCCUCGAAAGGGAGGGGGAAGCGUGGAGGUGGGGGCAGAGGCCGUGCUGAGAUGACGGAGUCGGCGCAUUACCGCAACGGGUGCCUAGGGUUUCUUCGCACUACGCUAAUGGAGCCUGUGGCGAGCCGUAGGUUAGAGUGUACUGGAGCUCUUGGAUGGAGAAAAACGGACCGAUUAAACAUCUUCUGCUAGCGGUUGUGAACACCACGGAGGCAUGGGUACAAAUACAUACACGCGCACCCAAAGCUCUUCUGGACAUUUUGUCGUGUGCACUCAUGUGCGUUUGCGCGUAGGCGUUGAGAGGUUCUCUGUGCUUUAUUUUUGCUGCGUGCGUGUGUGCGUGUCUUUCUUGUAUUCGCCUGCUGCUUCUCCUUUUCUUGCCUUGAGUGCUUUCGCGUCCGAAGACUCAGACGUUUAUGACUUUGCUUAUGUUUUCCUACUCGUGUCGAUUAUUCUGCCGGCGGCCGUCGCUGAUAUUUCUACCCAGCCAACGGCCUGCCUGCCUGCAACCAUGCCUGCUUCCACGUGUCAAAGAAUGUGAGCGCCCGCCGUGGCCGUCACCCAAGUGCAAGUGAUCCAUUGUGCCGGCCUUGUGCAUAGUAGUGGCGUGCUACCCGACUCAUAUUC